UACGAAGGGUGCAAGCGUUACUCGGAAUUACUGGGCGUAAAGCGUGCGUAGGCGGUGAGUUAAGUCUGAUGUGAAAUCCCCGGGCUCAACCUGGGAAUGGCAUUGGAUACUGGCUCGCUGGAGUACGGUAGAGGGUGGUGGAAUUCCCGGUGUAGCGGUGAAAUGCGUAGAGAUCGGGAGGAACAUCUGUGGCGAAGGCGGCCCCCUGGACCAGUCCUGACGCUGAGGCACGAGAGCGUGGGGAGCAAACAGG
This 253-nucleotide ribosomal RNA is filed under the name uncultured bacterium. RNAcentral describes it as "partial 16S ribosomal RNA". It matches the Rfam family "Bacterial small subunit ribosomal RNA", at positions 524 to 776 of the family's 1533-position model. The record is from RNAcentral.